This 644-nucleotide ribosomal RNA is filed under the name uncultured Lachnospiraceae bacterium. RNAcentral describes it as "bacterial SSU rRNA". It matches the Rfam family "Bacterial small subunit ribosomal RNA", at positions 80 to 744 of the family's 1533-position model. Lineage: Bacteria; Bacillati; Bacillota; Clostridia; Lachnospirales; Lachnospiraceae. The record is from RNAcentral.
UGCUUUUCAAAGUUAGUGGCGGACGGGUGAGUAACGCGCGGGUAACCUGCCUCAUACAGGGGAAUAGCAGCUGGAAACGGCUGAUAAAACCGCAUAAGCGCACAGUGCCGCAUGGCACAGUGUGAAAAACUCCGGUGGUAUGAGAUGGACCCGCGUCUGAUUAGCUAGUUGGCGGGGUAACGGCCCACCAAGGCGACGAUCAGUAGCCGGCCUGAGAGGGUGAUCGGCCACAUUGGGACUGAGACACGGCCCAAACUCCUACGGGAGGCAGCAGUGGGGAAUAUUGCACAAUGGGGGAAACCCUGAUGCAGCGACGCCGCGUGAAGGAAGAAGUAUCUCGGUAUGUAAACUUCUAUCAGCAGGGAAGAUAAUGACGGUACCUGACUAAGAAGCCCCGGCUAACUACGUGCCAGCAGCCGCGGUAAUACGUAGGGGGCAAGCGUUAUCCGGAUUUACUGGGUGUAAAGGGAGCGUAGGCGGCGGAGCAAGUCAGAAGUGAAAGCCCGGGGCUCAACCCCGGGACGGCUUUUGAAACUGCCCUGCUUGAUUUCAGGAGAGGUAAGCGGAAUUCCUAGUGUAGCGGUGAAAUGCGUAGAUAUUAGGAGGAACACCAGUGGCGAAGGCGGUUACUGACUGACAAUGAC